CCCACUUCUAUUUAUGUGACAGCAGAGAUCAUGACAGAGAUCAGUGGACACAUGGUUUGACCCGUCAGUUCACCUGCUUCUCCAUCAACCAUGUUUCCUGCAGCUCUGCUGCUGCUGUUGGCAGCUGGAUCCAGUGUGAAGUGUGAACAGCUGACACAGCCAGACUCUGUGACUGUGCAGCCAGGUCAGCGUCUGACCGUCACCUGUCAGGUCUCUUAUUCACUUGGCUACUGGACAGCUUGGAUCAGACAACCUGCAGGGAAAGGACUGGAGUGGAUUGGGAUGAGAAGCACUGGAGCCUCUUACUACAAAGAUUCACUGAAGAGCAAAUUCAGCAUUGAAUUGGACACUUCCAGCAACACAGUGACUCUAAACGGACAGAACCUGCAGCCUGAAGACUCUGCUGUUUAUUACUGUGCCAGAGACACACAGUGACUCAAAGCAUCAGUGGAGCUGAACAAAAACCCUCCUGUGUCUGAACAACACAGAGCCACCAGAGGAGGAGCCCUCAGACAACAGAUGCCCUGAACUUCACCAGAAUGUAAAAUUAAACUAUUCACUUCAAUAAUACAAUAAAGCAAACACCCAGCAGGCACACAACUGACCUUCAAUGUUAAGAUACGGUUGAAAUAAUGUCAGUUACUGUUGUGACGUUGAUGCUACAUUGAAACAACGUUUGAUCAACUUUGA
Molecule: non-coding RNA, 690 nt
Organism: Betta splendens (Siamese fighting fish)
Lineage: Eukaryota; Metazoa; Chordata; Actinopteri; Anabantiformes; Osphronemidae
Source: the annotation of a RefSeq genome assembly